UGGCUCAGGACGAACGCUGGCGGCGUGCUUUACACAUGCAAGUCGAACGAUGAUGCCCAGCUUGCUGGGUGGAUUAGUGGCGAACGGGUGAGUAACACGUGAGUAACCUGCCCCUGACUUCGGGAUAAGCGCUGGAAACGGCGUCUAAUACCGGAUAUGAGCUGUCCUCGCAUGGGGAUGGUUGGAAAGUUUUUCGGUUGGGGAUGGGCUCGCGGCCUAUCAGCUUGUUGGUGGGGUGAUGGCCUACCAAGGCGACGACGGGUAGCCGGCCUGAGAGGGCGACCGGCCACACUGGGACUGAGACACGGCCCAGACUCCUACGGGAGGCAGCAGUGGGGAAUAUUGCACAAUGGGCGAAAGCCUGAUGCAGCGACGCCGCGUGAGGGAUGACGGCCUUCGGGUUGUAAACCUCUUUCAGUAGGGAAGAAGCGAAAGUGACGGUACCUGCAGAAGAAGCGCCGGCUAACUACGUGCCAGCAGCCGCGGUAAUACGUAGGGCGCAAGCGUUGUCCGGAAUUAUUGGGCGUAAAGAGCUCGUAGGCGGUUUGUCGCGUCUGGUGUGAAAACUCGAGGCUCAACCUCGAGCUUGCAUCGGGUACGGGCAGACUAGAGUGUGGUAGGGGUGACUGGAAUUCCUGGUGUAGCGGUGGAAUGCGCAGAUAUCAGGAGGAACACCGAUGGCGAAGGCAGGUCACUGGGCCACUACUGACGCUGAGGAGCGAAAGCAUGGGGAGCGAACAGGAUUAGAUACCCUGGUAGUCCAUGCCGUAAACGUUGGGCACUAGGUGUGGGGCUCAUUCCACGAGUUCCGUGCCGCAGCUAACGCAUUAAGGCCC
Molecule: ribosomal RNA, 836 nt
Filed under: Cellulosimicrobium sp. MOLA 1519
Lineage: Bacteria; Bacillati; Actinomycetota; Actinomycetes; Micrococcales; Promicromonosporaceae
Also listed under: 4 other names
Description: bacterial SSU rRNA
Rfam family: Bacterial small subunit ribosomal RNA
Source: RNAcentral